This 434-nucleotide ribosomal RNA is filed under the name Argopecten nucleus. Its description in RNAcentral is "partial 16S ribosomal RNA". It matches the Rfam family "Bacterial large subunit ribosomal RNA", at positions 1946 to 2596 of the family's 2925-position model. The record is from RNAcentral. Lineage: Eukaryota; Metazoa; Mollusca; Bivalvia; Pectinida; Pectinidae.
GCGUGCUAAGGUAGCUAAGUUAUGGCCUAGUUAAUUGUAGGCCCUGUGAAUGGUUUGACGAGUUUUCUUCUGUCUCUAGCUUGUUUAAGUGAACUUGAAUUGGAUGUGCAAAUGCUUCCUUGGUAAAGAAAGACGAGAAGACCCCGUGAAGUUAGAAAUUAAUGUGCAGAAUAGUGGGAGGCUACUUUUUCUGCCUUAUGGUUUUGGCUGGGGCAGCAAGGGGGCAAAAGUAGACCCCUUAAAAUUUAAUUCUGGUGAGUAAUGACCCAUAAGGUUUAAGGGUAUGAUUAGUAGAAGAAGUUACUCCGGGGAUAACAGCGUAAUCCGCCUUGACAGUCCUUAUAGAUGGGUGGGUUUGCGACCUCGAUGUUGGCUCUGGAUAUCCUGAAGCUGUAGGCGGUUUCAAGGGUUGGUUCGUUCGCCCAUUAAAAUCC